RNAcentral lists this ribosomal RNA (212 nucleotides) under uncultured bacterium. Its description in RNAcentral is "partial 16S ribosomal RNA". It matches the Rfam family "Bacterial small subunit ribosomal RNA", at positions 1289 to 1500 of the family's 1533-position model. The record is from RNAcentral.
CAGUUCAGAUUGCAGUCUGCAACUCGACUGCAUGAAGUCGGAAUCGCUAGUAAUCGCGGAUCAGCAUGCCGCGGUGAAUACGUUCCCGGGCCUUGUACACACCGCCCGUCACACCAUGAGAGUCGGGAACACCCGAAGUCCGUAGCCUAACCGCAAGGGGGGCGCGGCCGAAGGUGGGUUCGAUAAUUGGGGUGAAGUCGUAACAAGGUAGC